UACGUAGGGGGCUAGCGUUGUCCGGAAUCAUUGGGCGUAAAGAGCGUGUAGGCGGCCCGGUAAGUCCGCUGUGAAAUCCUGGAGCUCAACUCCAGAACUGCCUUUGAUACUGGGGAGCUCGAGUCCGGAAGAGGUGAGUGGAACUCCGAGUGUAGAGGUGAAAUUCGUAGAUAUUCGGAAGAACACCAGUGGCGAAGGCGGCUCACUGGUCCGGUACUGACGCUGAGGUGCGAAAGCGUGGGGAGCAAACAGG
RNAcentral lists this ribosomal RNA (253 nucleotides) under uncultured bacterium. RNAcentral's name for it is "partial 16S ribosomal RNA". It matches the Rfam family "Bacterial small subunit ribosomal RNA", at positions 524 to 776 of the family's 1533-position model. The record is from RNAcentral.